CAGUCGCCGCGGGAAUACGAAGGGUGCAAGCGUUAAUCGGAAUUACUGGGCGUAAAGCGCACGCAGGCGGUUUGUUAAGUCAGAUGUGAAAUCCCCGCGCUUAACUUGGGAACUGCAUUUGAAACUGGCAAGCUAGAGUCUUGUAGAGGGGGGUAGAAUUCCAGGUGUAGCGGUGAAAUGCGUAGAGAUCUGGAGGAACACCGAUGGCGAAGGCAGCCCCCUGGGCCAACACUGACGCUCAUGCACGAAAGCGUGGGGAGCAAACAGGAUUAGAUACCCCUGUAGUCCCUGUCUCUUAUAC
RNAcentral lists this ribosomal RNA (301 nucleotides) under uncultured bacterium. Its description in RNAcentral is "partial 16S ribosomal RNA". It matches the Rfam family "Bacterial small subunit ribosomal RNA", at positions 509 to 807 of the family's 1533-position model. The record is from RNAcentral.